Myotis davidii is the source of this 518-nucleotide long non-coding RNA. RefSeq lists it as uncharacterized. The record is from RefSeq and is a predicted model, not a curated record. NCBI's taxonomy places the organism in Eukaryota, Metazoa, Chordata, Mammalia, Chiroptera, Vespertilionidae. The transcript is spliced from 3 exons.
CUGCUGGGAACGUCCCUUCUCAGGCCCUUCCAUCUCGCAUUGGCCGGGUAUCUUGAUGGACCUGCAGGGCGGAGCUGAUCCCCAGGUCAGCUCCUUCAUCCCCUUCUCCUCCACAGUGGCCCCUCCGUCUGCCCGUGUUGGGUUCUGAUUCCUGCUCGGCAAUGGCCGGCCCUGCUGUCGCUCUACCUCCCAGGAAUAUCAGACAGCUGGCCAGGAGCAGGGACCUCUCCUAAUGCGUCCAUUUUCCUACGGUUACAACCAGUGCCCGCUCCUCAAUGCCAAGCUUCCUGUUUUCCCUGCAGGAACCCCCACAGCAUCAGGUCCAAAGCCCAGGCUGCAGGCAGGAAGGCUGCCAUUCUACGAAACCCAAGAGUGUUAAAUAAUUAACACCGAAGACGCCCACAAGAAAGCCCACCCCCGCUGUCUGUCCCAAGUGACAGCUGACAUUUUGACACGGUUUGCUCACCACCAGGACAGGAAACCCCUGUCUUAACUUUAAGAUCCCAAGGCAGGGCCUU